Molecule: small nuclear RNA, 107 nt
Organism: Rhinolophus ferrumequinum (greater horseshoe bat)
Lineage: Eukaryota; Metazoa; Chordata; Mammalia; Chiroptera; Rhinolophidae
Source: Ensembl
GUGCUUGCUUCGGCAACACAUAUACUAAAAUUAGAACAAUACAGAGAAGAUUAUCACAGCCCCUGCAGAAAGAUGACAUGCAAAUUCCUGAAGCAUUCCAUAUUUUU